Long non-coding RNA from Asparagus officinalis (garden asparagus), 692 nucleotides. RefSeq lists it as uncharacterized. The transcript has 3 exons. The record is from RefSeq and is a predicted model, not a curated record. NCBI's taxonomy places the organism in Eukaryota, Viridiplantae, Streptophyta, Magnoliopsida, Asparagales, Asparagaceae.
UCUUCAUGCUUCUGUUCUUUCACUCUGUACAGCGGAAGAAACUAGAUUAAAGCCAGAGGUUAGGUUCAAUGGGAGUUAAAUUAGUGAUGGAUUCAUCAUCUUCAAGUUGUCGCUCAAGAUCAGUGUCAAACACGAGCAUGGAAAGAAGUAGACAAGGGUUCAAUGGAAUAAAAGCUAUACGAUAGUGGAACGAUUAGCAAAACAAUCUGGGGUGAAGGUUUGUAAUUGUGGUUUGGAGUGCGAAUAUUUUACUUCUAUGACUGAUGAUAAUCCAGGACAGAGGUUCUACAAAUGCCGCAAUCAGCAUGCUGGUGGUUGUGGCAUUUGGGAAUGGAUUAACGAACCAAUGUGUAGUGUUGGAUGUCAAUUGUUUCCGCUUCUAAGAGAGGAGAUCAAAGAUUUGAGGAAUAUGUUGCUGUUGAAGGAGGAGUUACUUUAAAGGUGUGAAAAUCAGCUAAGAGGAUGCAAUGAGCACAUUUACAAGCUUAAAGAGGAUGUCGAAUUGUCUCAACAUGAGGCUGAUUAUUGUUUGGAAGAAGUGCAAAAAAUGAUGAAAGAAAGAUUAGAAUUGCACGAAAAGAUUGCAGAAGAAAAAAUGAUUAUUAAGUUUAUUUUGUUAUUAGGAAUGUUUACACUCUGUUUAAUUCUGUAUGUUGUAAUGUGAAGAUGGUUGUAAUGUAAAAGUGGUUGUG